CCGAGUUUACAACUCCCAAACCCCUGUGAACAUACCACUUGUUGCCUCGGCGGAUCAGCCCGCUCCCGGUAAAACGGGACGGCCCGCCAGAGGACCCCUAAACUCUGUUUCUAUAUGUAACUUCUGAGUAAAACCAUAAAUGAAUCA
This 147-nucleotide unclassified non-coding RNA is filed under the name soil metagenome. RNAcentral describes it as "partial internal transcribed spacer 1". The record is from RNAcentral.